RNAcentral lists this unclassified non-coding RNA (551 nucleotides) under Hevea brasiliensis (rubber tree). The record is from RNAcentral. Lineage: Eukaryota; Viridiplantae; Streptophyta; Magnoliopsida; Malpighiales; Euphorbiaceae.
UCACUGACUUUGUCAUGGCAGAACCUGCAAGUGAAUAACUUGCCACAGCAGGCAGCUCGAAGUUUACAGUUUCGUUUAUAAUGCUCACACCCAAAUUCUUGUUUCUCUGGAUUAUGAAAUGAAGGGUAACAUCCAAGUAAGUCUUCACCAUUUGAAAAUUCUCCAGUUCUUGCUUGAGGUGACUUCUGCUGAGCAGCUAUCCAGCGACUGGUCAUUAGAUGCUGAAUGAGAUAUGCUUUUCUUCUUGGAUCAAGAGAUGAAUCUUGAGAAACUUUUCUUAUCUCUGCUUCAAGCUCAUUUUGAUUCAUCCGGAAAAUAUCUUUCCAGCCAGGCUUAAAUGUAUGAUCACUGUGGUCCAGGCUUUCAUGGAGAUCAGUGCCUAGUGAUAUACAGCUCCCUGUUGUGGUCACUUGUGAAGUCGCAGCAGAAGUACCCUCCCACCAUUCAUUAAGCCACUCACUGAACAUUGUGUUUUUAGUUGCAUUUUUCCAUGUGUCCAUCAUUUUAUUCUGCUCCUCCUGAGUAAGAGCUGAUGUUACCCAUGGCAACAU